CACGGAGUUAGCCGGUGCUUCUUCUGCGAGUAACGUCAAUUGAUGAGCGUAUUAAGCUCACCACCUUCCUCCUCGCUGAAAGUGCUUUACAACCCGAAGGCCUUCUUCACACACGCGGCAUGGCUGCAUCAGGCUUGCGCCCAUUGUGCAAUAUUCCCCA
This 160-nucleotide ribosomal RNA is filed under the name uncultured bacterium. Its description in RNAcentral is "partial 16S ribosomal RNA". The record is from RNAcentral.